GAUGAACGCUGACAGAAUGCUUAACACAUGCAAGUCAACUUGAACUUCGGUUUGGGUGGCGGACGGGUGAGUAACGCGUAAAGAACUUGCCUCACAGAUAGGGACAACAUUUGGAAACGAAUGCUAAUACCUGAUAUUAUGAUUUUAGGGCAUCCUAGGAUUAUGAAAGCUAUAUGCGCUGUGAGAGAGCUUUGCGUCCCAUUAGCUAGUUGGAGAGGUAACGGCUCACCAAGGCGAUGAUGGGUAGCCGGCCUGAGAGGGUGAUCGGCCACAAGGGGGCUGAGACACGGCCCUUACUCCUACGGGAGGCAGCAGUGGGGAAUAUUGGACAAUGGACCAAGAGUCUGAUCCAGCAAUUCUGUGUGCACGAUGAAGUUUUUCGGAAUGUAAAGUGCUUUCAGUUGGGAAGAAAAAAAUGACGGUACCAACAGAAGAAGUGACGGCUAAAUACGUG
RNAcentral lists this ribosomal RNA (454 nucleotides) under uncultured bacterium. RNAcentral's name for it is "partial 16S ribosomal RNA". It matches the Rfam family "Bacterial small subunit ribosomal RNA", at positions 28 to 507 of the family's 1533-position model. The record is from RNAcentral.